RNAcentral lists this long non-coding RNA (1437 nucleotides) under Lactuca sativa (garden lettuce). Its description in RNAcentral is "long non-coding RNA (LSAT_LNC003042)". Lineage: Eukaryota; Viridiplantae; Streptophyta; Magnoliopsida; Asterales; Asteraceae. The record is from RNAcentral.
UAAGGGCUAACUUGGAAUUAAAGUAUUCAUAAGUGAAAACUUUACAAAUUCCAAAACUUGAGGGCAAGUUUUGAAACUAUUCAAAACUAAUUAAUUCCAUAACUUAUGUGUUUAAAGUAGUUUUAAUCCAAAAACUCUUCAAGUUCCAUAACUUGAGGACAAGUUAUGGAAGACUUUAAACUAAUAAAAGAACUAACUUUUUCUUUAUUUUAUAACUUAUGGAUUUAAUUAUGGUUACAUAUUUUCCUUUAAUGAAGUGACUCUUGAACUUCCAUAACUUGAGGACAAGUUAUGGAGUCAAAAAAAAUUAUUCAAUGACACAAGACUCUUCAUUUUGUAACCAUUGCCAACUUUUAUGAAUUUUAUGAGUCUUUAAUGUGACUCUUCAUGUAACUUGAGGACAAGUUACACAAACACAUUUUAUACUCAACUCUUAGAUUAAAAUGGAUUGAAAACAACUAUUUCAAUUAACUUUUCUAUUAAUCUAAGCAACUCAUAAGAACAAGAUAAUUCAAAUCAAACUUUUUCAUGUAAUUAGUCUAAACCUUAAACUAAUACAAAACAUGAAUCUACUGACAAUUAUCUUUGAAAAUGGAUUAGCAUGAACAUUACCACAUCAAAAACAAGUUUAUAAGUUCAAAACAUCUUAGGGUAAUGUUCCUAGUCUAAUUCCGGCCAAAAAGGUCAAAUUUAUGCUGUCUGGGGGUCCAACUCGUCGAGUGCACGAACCAACUCAGCGAGUUGGAUGCUUUUUGCCUUGGAAUCGGUGAGUCCAUUCAUGGACUCGGUGAGUCUGCUGGGCAGACAACAUCAAAACUCGAUUUUCCAGCUUCUUUUGCAUGUAUAACAAGAAAACAAGCCUAGUCUCUGAUACCACUGUUGGGUUAUGGGCAUUCUAACACUCCUAAGUGUACAUGCAACACUAAAUACCUUGAAUCUAUGUUUUCUCUAUUAUACAUGAAAAGAAGAACUUCCAAGGUAUUAUCCUAAUCUAGCAUACAAAACUAUCAAUAUAACAAGAUAAAAUACAUACCUCUUUGAUGUAGAAUGUCUUCAUGAAGCUUGAGUGCCUAGUACCCCAAGUGUGACACCUCAAAUGGUUCACACAACACCAAAUACACUUGGAAUAACUUGAGAGAAAUCCACAACUCAUGAAAUCGNUACAUGCAACCCUAAAUACCUUGGAUCUAUGUUUUCUCUAUUAUACAUGCAAAUAAGAACUUCCAAGGUAUUAUCCUAAUCUAGCAUACAAAACAAUGACUAUAGCAAGAUAGAAUACAUACCUCUUUGGUGUAGAAUGUCUUCAUGAAGCUUGAGUGCCUAGUGCCCCAAGUGUGACACCUCAAAUGGUUCACACAACACCAAAUACACUUGGAAUAACUUGAGAGAAAUCCACAACUCAUGAAAUCGGCUAGCCCUUAUUUUUACACACUCUAG